RNAcentral lists this microRNA precursor (168 nucleotides) under Pelobates cultripes (western spadefoot toad). Lineage: Eukaryota; Metazoa; Chordata; Amphibia; Anura; Pelobatidae. The record is from RNAcentral.
GCAGACACAUUCCAGCCAAUCAGCAGCAGACCCUCCCUCCCAGACCCUCCCACCUCCUGGACAGCAUCCAUUUUACAUUCAUUGUGAAGCUGCAUUCUUAGUGAGCUGUCCAGGAGAUGGGAGGGUCUGGGAGGGAGGGUCUGCUGCUGAUUGGCUGGAAUGUGUCUG